This 497-nucleotide ribosomal RNA is filed under the name uncultured bacterium. RNAcentral describes it as "partial 16S ribosomal RNA". It matches the Rfam family "Bacterial small subunit ribosomal RNA", at positions 28 to 507 of the family's 1533-position model. The record is from RNAcentral.
GAUGAACGCUGGCGGCGUGCCUAAUACAUGCAAGUCGAGCGAACAGAUGAGGAGCUUGCUCCUCUGACGUUAGCGGCGGACGGGUGAGUAACACGUGGAUAACCUACCUAUAAGACUGGGAUAACUUCGGGAAACCGGAGCUAAUACCGGAUAAUAUAUUGAACCGCAUGGUUCAAUAGUGAAAUACGGUUUUGCUGUCACUUAUAGAUGGAUCCGCGCCGAAUUAGCUAGUUGGUAAGGUAAAGGCUUACCAAGGCAACGAUGCGUAGACGACCUGAGAGGGUGAUCGGCCACAUGGGAAGAGAGGAACGGCAGAGACUCUGACGGGAGGCAGCAGCAGGGAAUCUUACGCAAUGGGCGAGAGCCGGACGGAGCAACGCGGCGGGAGGGAUGAAGGUCCUCGGACGGGAAAACGCUGUUAGUAGGGAAGAACAAAUGUGUAAGUAACUAUGCACGUAUUGACGGUACCUAAUCAGAAAGCCACGGCUAACUACGUG